This 253-nucleotide ribosomal RNA is filed under the name uncultured bacterium. RNAcentral describes it as "partial 16S ribosomal RNA". It matches the Rfam family "Bacterial small subunit ribosomal RNA", at positions 524 to 776 of the family's 1533-position model. The record is from RNAcentral.
UACGUAGGGUGCAAGCGUUGUCCGGAAUUAUUGGGCGUAAAGAGCUCGUAGGCGGUCUGUCGCGUCUGCUGUGAAAACUCGAGGCUCAACCUCGAGAUGUCGGCGGAAACCGUCUGGCUAGAGUCCGGAAGAGGAGAGUGGAAUUCCUGGUGUAGCGGUGAAAUGCGCAGAUAUCAGGAAGAACACCUAUGGCGAAGGCAGCUCUCUGGGACGGUACUGACGCUGAGACGCGAAAGCGUGGGGAGCGAACAGG